This 1258-nucleotide long non-coding RNA is filed under the name Monodelphis domestica (gray short-tailed opossum). Its description in RNAcentral is "lncRNA (ENSMODG00000037222.1)". The record is from RNAcentral. Lineage: Eukaryota; Metazoa; Chordata; Mammalia; Didelphimorphia; Didelphidae.
CGGCGGCGGCAGCAACAGCAGCAGCGGCAGCGGCAGCGGCAGCAGGCAGUGAAGUCCCAGCGCAGCCGGCGCCUCCAGCCCAGGGGGGCUCUAGGAGCUGUCCUCGGCGAUUGUGCUCCUUCUUUCCAAAGCCCAAACGACUCCUGCGGGGGUCCUCGCCCGUCUCACUCCUCUCCGGGCAGCCUGGAGUGUCCACGAGCCUUGCCCAGCCCACCCAGCCGGUGCAACCCGUCCGAGCGAGCGCAGCCGAGCCCAGUUCUCCUCAGCUCCGGCUCGGGUUUAGGCUGGGGCUCAAGCAGCUCAGCCCUCUGCCCAGCUCCUGGCUCUCGGCUUCUGCCCGACUGGAACAAACUCAACUGGGGAGGAGGAAAGUGGGACAGGCAAUCUGGGGAAAGAGGCUGCUGCUUCCCUCUAUCUCUCUCCCUCCCUCUCUCCUUUUUCUUUCUUCCUUCUUCUCUCUCUUCUUCUCCCCCACCUUCCUUCCUUCCUCUCCUCCGCUCUCUCUCUUGCCUCCACCGCCGCCGGCCCGGCUCCCUAGCUAGGAAGACUCCCAGCAAAGUGAUGCUGUUGCCUCGAGAAGCGGUUGGGAAUAGCGCCCCCGCCCAUCCCUGGGAGGAGGGGGCCCAGGGACACUCCGCCCAGCUCCUGCCUGCUGCUGCCUCCUUAUCUCCCUCCCUCCCUCCCUCUCUCCGCAAAGCCCGGCUUGGAAGAGGAGGGAAGAUCUGGCCCAGUGCCGUUCGGUCCCCUAGCCUUUGCUUCUGCCUCUGGGGAGGCCAGAGGCUCGCUCCUGGCCGCAGCGCUGGGGUGUGCCGAGGUGCGCUGCGCGGGGCGCAAAGGUGCGGGCUUCCGGGCGCGGCGUCGCGCCGAGCUCUCGGAGUGUCAGAGUCAGCGCCUGCGUUCCUACUAGGGACGCAAUCUGGGAAUCCCAAGUGGACUUCAGGGCAAGGUUAGGGUUUGAGGCCGGGCGAAAUGGUGAGGGAUGAAGCUGGGUGGGCUUUGGAACGAGGCAAAACAGAAGGGGAGGAAGUGGGAGAGUGGUACGAUCCGAGAUUGAGCUUGUCUGGUGCCGUUGUCCCCCGAUCCCCAAAACAGAAUGUCUUCUCCUUGGUCCUUCUCUCCCUUGGAGCUUCAACUUUCGGGCACUCGUUCAAGGAAAUCAGCCCCGAUGGACCAGGCUGAGACACCUGAAGGCACAGAGUGGAAAAGGUUACCCAGGGUCCUGAUCUGUGCCCUUCUGAUCCCGAAGAGUCUCGUGUCC